AAUAUGUCUGGUUUAAAUCCAACUCCGUUACCCAUAAUUUGAUGAGGACCUGGUUUACCACCGUUGAGCACAUUACUUUCAGCAGGCUCCACCCCAUAUAUCUUAACAUUAGGAUUUUGAGAUUUAAGGUACUGCCCAACGCCAGAGACUGUUCCUCCACUGCCUAUUCCCAUUACAAAGAUGUCAACAUGACCAAGUGUAUCCUCCCAAAUUUCAGGACCUGUCGUUUCAAAAUGGAUCUUAGAAUUUGCAGGAUUUGAAAAUUGUUGUAGCAUGAAAGCAUUUGGUGUGGAUUCCAAAAGAUCAU
RNAcentral lists this unclassified non-coding RNA (307 nucleotides) under Hevea brasiliensis (rubber tree). Lineage: Eukaryota; Viridiplantae; Streptophyta; Magnoliopsida; Malpighiales; Euphorbiaceae. The record is from RNAcentral.